AGGACGAACGCUGGCGGCGUGCCUAAGCUUAUGCAAGUCGAACGCGAACGGCUCCUUCGGGAGCCUAGUAGAGUGGCAAACGGGUGAGUAACGCGUGGGUAACGUACCCUGAUCCUGGGAAUAACCCUCGGAAACGAGGGCUAAUACCGAAUGUGGCGAACGACCGGUUGGUCGCUCGCUAAAGGUGGCCUCUUCUAUGCUGCCGGGUUGGGAUCGGCCCGCGUCCCAUUAGCUAGUUGGUGAGGUAACGGCUCACCAAGGCCACGAUGGGUAGCCGGCCUGAGAGGGUGUACGGCCACACUGGCACUGAGACAAGGGCCAGUCCCCUAUGGGAGGCGCAGGCGGGAAUAGUUCACGAUGGGCGAAAGCCUGAUGACGCGACGCCGCGUGAGCGAAGAAGACCUUCGGGUUGUAAAGCUCUGUCAGGAGGGAAGAAGGCUCUACGGGUUAAUAGCCCGUGGAAUUGACGGUACCUCCAGAGGAAGCCCCGGCUAAAUACGUGCCAGCAGCCGCGGUAAUACGUAUGGGGCAAGCGUUGUCCGGAUUUACUGGGCGUAAAGGGCGCGCAGGCGGUUUGUUAAGUCGAAGGUGANAUCCUCGGGCUCAACUCGAGAAUUGCCUUCGAUACUGGCAAACUAGAGUGGCGGAGAGGAAAGCGGAACUCUUGGUGUAACGGUGGAAUGUGUAGAUCUCAAGAGGAACACCGGUGGCGAAGGCGGCUUUCUGGACGCACACUGACGCUCAGGCGCGAAAGCGUGGGUAGCAAACCAGGAUUAGAUACCCUGGUAGUCCACGCCAUAAACCGAUGGGUACUAGGUGU
This 820-nucleotide ribosomal RNA is filed under the name uncultured organism. Its description in RNAcentral is "bacterial SSU rRNA". It matches the Rfam family "Bacterial small subunit ribosomal RNA", at positions 26 to 823 of the family's 1533-position model. The record is from RNAcentral.